RNAcentral lists this ribosomal RNA (836 nucleotides) under uncultured bacterium. RNAcentral describes it as "bacterial SSU rRNA". It matches the Rfam family "Bacterial small subunit ribosomal RNA", at positions 8 to 825 of the family's 1533-position model. The record is from RNAcentral.
AGAGUUUGAUCCUGGCUCAGGACGAACGCUGGCGGCGUGCCUAAUACAUGCAAGUCGAGCGAAGUUUUUCUGGUGCUUGCACCGGAAAAACUUAGCGGCGAACGGGUGAGUAACACGUAAAGAACCUGCCUCAUAGACUGGGACAACUAUUGGAAACGAUAGCUAAUACCGGAUAACAGCAUUAACUGCAUGGUUGAUGUUUAAAAGUUGGUUUUGCUAACACUAUGAGAUGGCUUUGCGGUGCAUUAGCUAGUUGGUGGGGUAAAGGCCUACCAAGGCGACGAUGCAUAGCCGACCUGAAAGGGUGAUCGGCCACACUGGGACUGAGACACGGCCCAGACUCCUACGGGAGGCAGCAGUAGGGAAUCUUCCGCAAUGGGCGAAAGCCUGACGGAGCAACGCCGCGUGAGUGAAGAAGGAUUUCGGUUCGUAAAGCUCUGUUGUUAGGGAAGAAUGAUUGUGUAGUAACUAUACACAGUAGAGACGGUACCUAACCAGAAAGCCACGGCUAACUACGUGCCAGCAGCCGCGGUAAUACGUAGGUGGCAAGCGUUGUCCGGAAUUAUUGGGCGUAAAGCGCGCGCAGGUGGUUUAAUAAGUCUGAUGUGAAAGCCCACGGCUCAACCGUGGAGGGUCAUUGGAAACUGUUAAACUUGAGUGCAAGAGAGAAAAGUGGAAUUCCUAAUGUAGCGGAGAAAUGCGUACAGCUUAGGAGGUACACCUCUGGCGAAAGCGUGCUUUAUGGACUGUCUUCGAUACUGAGGCGUGAUAGCGUGAAGAUCAACCAUGACUAAGUACCUGCUACUCCUCGCCCUCACGAUGAGUGCUAAGUGUAG